UUUUUUCCACUCUCUCUGUCACUUGCAUCUUCUGAUCCUUUCCUCCAAUUUUCAGGUACUCCUUUUUUUUUUAGUUCCUCCCUAAUUUCAUAUUUUUCCGUUAUCUUUUGUCUUCCUUAGUUUGAGUGAGGUUCUAUUUGGGCAUCUAAAGUUUUCGUCGUCUUAUUUUUUUCCGGCUAUUCAUAAUUAUUGGAGAUGACAUCGUAAACUAUUGAGCUGGAAGUAAUCUAAUUUAACUUUAAAAAUUAGUUAAGUUGGUUCUCAAAAAGUGAAACGCGACAGUUAAUUUGAGACACAGAAAAUAUUACUUUGUUAUCGAUUUGAUUCAUUGGUCUGUAUAUGGACUUCCUUCCCCCACCUACCCCUACAAACUAGUAAAGCUGAUUUUUGCUGCUUCACCUCUUUAUGUCCCUCUUUACGUUGUUAGUAUCUGGAUUUUGGCCUCUUUCUCCUUUUCUCACCAUUUUCUACAAUAUAACAACUAAUACCAGUAGUAGUAUCUCUCCGAAAAACAAACCAAUAUUAAAUUUUGAAACAUCAAUUGAUCAGAAAUAUCUUGUGGUUUUAGAAAAAAAAAUAAAAAAUUUACAUUGAAUUUUCUUAUUGCUUUCUUUGUCAGAUCAUCCAUUAUUAUUGUCUCAGCUAUUUUGUUAAUUCUCAUUGCUUUAUUUCAUAUUUCAGUCAUUUUCGUUGCAAUUAUUGUUCUUGCAUGUGGACUUUGGUAGUUGUUAUUUGCUUUCCUUUGGUUAUCGCUGCUUAAUUUUUUGGGUUAUUGAGUGAUAUUUUUACUUUGCACAUAAAAAUGCAUCUUCUACUGUUAAUUCCAGUUUUUUUUUUAUCAGUGAUAUGUGGCUGUAGACUUUAAAUUCUUCCAUUAAUAAUGGAGAGAAAGAGAGACACUAAAAUGGAAAGUGUACUCUUUUAAGGAAAAGUUCACUAAUUCUCCCACAUUGGUGGGAGAAGGGAACUUUGAAGUGUUUAUAAUAAGCACUUACUCCACAUGGAUAGUGAGGCAAAAACAAGGUGGUGCCUCGCGCCGUUGUCGUCGCUCGGCUUCAGCCUUGGCUUUGGAUCAAUUGAUGAGAUCUAUUUUUUAAGACAAAUUUUAUUUCUUUUGAUCGUCCAUUUAUGUGCAUGCAUGCAGUGGCGGAAACACUGUUUCGAAAUGCAGUGCAGAAGCGAAUUGAUGGUUCGGAAGGGAUGCAAUCCUUCAACGAAAUGACACACUGAUUCAUGAGAUGGUAUGCCUUUUCGGAAAAGACACAUUCUUAGGAGGAAUAGACAUGAUUUUUCAGAAAGGUUAUACCUUUUAAGUGAACCAUUGCCACCUUUCAAAAGAGGCACCUGAUGGCAAUAAAACCUACUUUCAUCCACAGGUUUUGGUACGAAAAUUUUUUGAAAUACAAACUCUUCUUGUCUUCAAAAACAUUCUGUGUGAUCAAUCAAAUCGUUGAGUGAGUUCGUUGAAUUCAACAAUUUGAGAUACCGCAAUUGUUCGGAUCAAUUUUUUUUUUAAAUAAAAUACAUUUGGUUCAAUAUGUAUGGAAAGUGUGAAUAGAAAAUGGAGGAAAAAUAGUGGAGAGAAAGAGAGAUACCAAAAUGGAAAGUGUACUCUUUUAAGGGAAAGUUCACUAAUUCUCCCACAUUGGUGGGAGAAGGGAACUUUGAAGUGUUUAUAAUAAGAAACACUUACACCACAUAGAUAGUGAGGCAAGAACAAGGUGGUGCCUCACCCUGCCGUCGUCGCUCGGCUUGGCUUCGGCUUCGGAUCGAUCAGAUUUAUUUUUUUAGACAAAUUUUAUUUCUUUUGAUCGUUCAUUUAUAUGCAUGCAUGCAGUGGCGGAAACACUAUUUCAAAAUGCAGUGCAGAAGCGAAUUUAUGCUUCAAAAAUGAUACAACCCUUCAACGAAAUGACACACUGAUUCAUGAAAUGGUAUGCCUGUUCGGAAAAGAUGCAUUCUUUGAACGAAUAGACAUGAUUUUUCAAAAAGGUUACACCUUUUAAGUGAACCAUUGCCACCUUUCAGAAGAGGAACCUGAAGGCUAUAAAAACCUGCUUUCAUCCACAAGUUUUGGUACAAAAAUUUUUUGAAAUACAAAUUUUUCUAGUCUUCAAAAAUAUAUUGUGUGAUCAACAAUUUGAAGUACCGCUAUUGUUCAGAUUGAAGAUAAUUUUAUCUUAGGAGGAAGAUUCCAUAACCUCGGGUGCAAUGAGGAGAAUUGUUCUUUAAGGACACUCCGUGAAGUCGGGGGACUUGGUCUUAAAAUUCUGUUUAAUCUUUUUCUGAAAUUUGACAUACUUCUUGGAUAGAUUAUUUAUAAUCUUGUGUUGAAGGUGUUAAGGAACUUCAUAAGUGUUCUUGUUUAUACAUGAACUUACGUUGAAGUUGUUGUUGCAUUUAUACAAAUUCUUCUACCCGAAAUAUUAUAAAUAACAAUCUUAAGUUAAAGAUUUGAAGACAAAAAUUUAACUAGUGAUUUGAAGACAAAAUCUUUAUCACAAGUUCAAGAUCACUCGAUUUGAAUUUAACUAGUAAUUUGAAGACAAAAUCUUUAUCACAAGUUCAAGAUCACUCGGUUGACGAUUUUAAGUGAUAAAAACUUCAUCGUUUUACUAGAAACAAGAAGUGUUUAAAGUUGCUGCAACUUUUUAAUAAGUAUUUCGAUAUACUAAAGGUACUGUCUUGUGUUGACAGGAAAAUGACGACUGAUAGUCAAAUGCAUGAUGCUGGAACGACUAUGGCGGCAUCUAGUAUUGUCACGACGAGUCGUACUAAUUCUUCGCAAGCUAUGGCAUCGAUGGAGAAACCCGAAAAGU
This 2819-nucleotide long non-coding RNA is filed under the name Capsicum annuum. RNAcentral's name for it is "long non-coding RNA (CANN_LNC012569)". Lineage: Eukaryota; Viridiplantae; Streptophyta; Magnoliopsida; Solanales; Solanaceae. The record is from RNAcentral.